Molecule: unclassified non-coding RNA, 269 nt
Filed under: plant metagenome
Description: partial contains small subunit ribosomal RNA, internal transcribed spacer 1, and 5.8S ribosomal RNA
Source: RNAcentral
UUUCCGUAGGUGAACCUGCGGAAGGAUCAUUAAUGUGGUGUCAUGGGGUUCGAUGCUGGCAGCCAAUUUUUGGAUGCAUGUGCUUGCCCUAACAAUCAUCUUCCAAACACCUGUGCACAUUUUUGAGGGAGUCUUGAGUUGGUUGCCGCUCUUGGGUGAUUUUCUCACAUUCCCUUAAAUCAUUAUACGCUAUUAACAAUGUUGAACGUGCUCUGUGCCGCAAGGCUAUUAAUAUAAUACAACUUUUAACAACGGAUCUCUUGGCUCUC